ACCCCUCGUGAGGCGCCCUGAGGAGCCUGAUGACCUCUCUUUGUCCACCCCCUCAGAUCGCCACUUGGGAGAGUCACCGGUGGACAAGGCAAAUGGAAAAGAUGGCGCUCAGGAGCUCGACGAUGCCUUUCUAGAGGCCUUUAAGAACUUGCGCGUCAGCUGUUUUUACUGCUAUCCAAGAGACAGAUCUGAAACCGAAAAUCACAAAAUGGAAGAAUGAAACAGCUCAGACUCCCUUAUGGUAGCAGUUAUGGCGUCCAUUUUACAGGCGGCUGUAAAAGAUCAUGUUAAACCAGGCAAUUAAUAAAAUGUAUUUAAAUGUGUCAA
Gopherus flavomarginatus (Mexican gopher tortoise) is the source of this 327-nucleotide long non-coding RNA. RefSeq lists it as uncharacterized. NCBI's taxonomy places the organism in Eukaryota, Metazoa, Chordata, Testudines, Testudinidae. The transcript is spliced from 2 exons. The record is from RefSeq and is a predicted model, not a curated record.